AGCGACCCCAUGGACUGCAGCCCACCAGGCUCCUCCGUCCAUGGGAUUUUCCAGGCAAGAGUACUGGAGUGGGGUGCCAUUGCCUUCUCCGGCUGACUUACUGUUUAAAUAAUUUUAUGUACCAUUCUGGUCAUGGAUUAUUUUCUAUAUGUGUAGGUGACAUGGCAUGAAUAAACUAACAGAAAUAGUAUCUAAAAACAAAAGAUCCGUGGGACUUCCCUGGCGGCCCAGUGGUUAAGACUCUGCACUUUCAAUGCAGGGGACAUGGGUUUUCAAUCCCUGGUUGGGGAACCAAGAUCCCAUAUGCCUCACAAUGUAGUCGAAAGAUUAAAAAACAAAAGGUCCACAUUAAACUGUCUAAGCACAGAACUCUGGCUUUCAAGCAGGAAUUCCCAGAGAACAGAAGGGCACAGGGGGGUGGGGUGCUACAGCUGGCCCUGUAGGGGAACUGGUUUGGAGUCAAACAGAGAUACCUUCUGUUUCCUGUUGUAUUUGGCCAGCACUGGGAGAUAUUCCAUUAAGAUCCUAUUUUCAGCUCUGAAAAGGUCCCAUUCUGGGCUGAGUUCCACUGGGCCAGUGUUACUCCCUCACAUUACCUGUUCUGCCCCAGAAACAAUGGUCAAUGCUUUGCACAAAAUAAUCACAGACUCUGUUUGAACUGAGGGAUAUUUUGAAAGCCCACAGAGACUGAGCCAUCUCCCAGUUUUUAGCUAGGCAUAUGCUGGCUACAAAGACAGCAUCUCCCACAUUUCCUUGCAGCUAGAUGUGGCCAUAUGAUACAGUUCUGACUAAAUUCCUGGGUAGAGUCUUCAAGCUUCAGAAAGGAGCCUACUUUUCCUCCACCUUCCCACCUGGAAUGUGGACAUGGUCUCCAGCCAUCUUGGACCAGGAGAGGGGACCCCAUGGUGGCAGAGCAAGAAGACAGAAGGAGCACACUUCACCACUUGGAACUGUAACUCCUGUGUUUAUAUCAUCACCUGUGUCCUUCCUCUGGAAUCCGAGCUCCUGAGGGCUCUGAAGAACUGAAGGACUCCACUGGCAGCAGACCAGUUCUCCUGAUUCUCAGUCUCUCACGAUCCUUAGGAACUUUUGCUGACGAAGGGCUAUGUGACCUCUAGCAGAUUCCUCAACCUCCCUGUGCCCCAGCUGCAAAAUGUCAUGAUCAUGGCCCCUGUAGUUCUAAGGAUUACGAAGACAGACAUGGAGAGAAAGUCAAAGCCGGUAUUACGCCCUAUGUGAAGUGGCCCUCCGCCCCUACGCUCCCACCAGUCUCCCCACUGCCUUCCUCAGCAACAGCCUCUCGCCCCAGGUGCCCUGCCAUAAGCAUCCCAAGCAGGGCCUUUGCACCUGCUGUCCCCACAGCCACAGGGCCUGCUCCUCCCCAUCUAGGUCUCCUCUGAUGUCACCUUCUCAGUGAAGCCUUCCCUGACUACCUCAUUUGAAACUGCUUCACACACACAAAAGCCUCCCAUUCCUCUUCUCUUUUUUCCUCCACAGCACUUAUAACCUGCUAACAUUCUAUACCUUUUUUGUUGUUUGUUUUGGCCAUACUCAGUUUUAGUUGUGGCUUUCAGGUUCUUUCCGUUGCAGCAUGUAGGAUCUAGUCCCCUGACCAGGGCUUCAAACUGGGCCCCCUGCGUUGGGAGUGCAGUCUUAGCCACUCGACCAUCAGGGAAAUGCCCAUUCUAUACAUUUUGCUUAAAUAUUCAAGUAUCUGUUUUCACUGUUAUAACCACCACAAAGGCAGAAAUUUUUAUUCAUUGUGUUUACCACUCUGUUCCCCGCUCCCCAAAUAGUACCUGUAUCACCUGCAUGCUCAAUACAUCAGUGUUGAAUGAAUGGGAAUAAAUAACGGUCCCUACCUCAUAAAGGAUCCGAUGUGAACAUCCCUAUAGAGUGCUUAGCCCAGGGUCUGGUCAGCCGUGAGCCAUUAUGGUAAUUCAGAUUCUAUUCUUGAGGGUUCUUAGUUGCCAAGCUUCUGUGAGUUAACACAUGUAAAGCGCCUUAGAACAGAGCUUGGCACACAGUAAAUGGUAGCUAUUAUUAUAAUUAAGCUUCUAUUUUCAAAGAAGCUUUGAUGCCAAGCUUCUGGGAAUUAGUAUUUCCCGUCUCAGAGCGAGAGCUGGUGUUUCCACAUGGCUGUCACGAGCUGGCCCUCUACUCCCAACUCUGACCUCAUCCCUCCAGCCACUCUGGCCUCCUUGAUGCCCCAUGCCCUCACCUAGACGGCUCCUCCCACCCCAGCGCCAGGCUCCCUCCCUCCCCUUCUCUGGUCUCUCUUCACCUCAGGGAGGUGACACCACUAUUUAAAACUGCACUCUCUUUCAGAACUGUUCUCUGCUCUGCUCUAGUCUCCUCCACAGUGCUUAGCACCAUCAAGCAUGUUACACCUUUCUCGUCUAUUUCUUGUUUACUAUCUGUCCCCACCAGGGGCCCCUUCUCACUUCCAGGUAAGCUCCAUGAACACAAGGAUUUUAUCUUAUUCACUGGUGUGUUCUCAAUGCUUAGCACACAGCCAAGAAUUGAAAAGAUAUUUGUUAAGUGAAUUAAUGGCUCACAGUCCCUACCUUGCAGAGUUAUUCUAAGGGCCUGAUGAUCUCAUGCAAAUAAAAUGCAGCACUCUGUUAAGUGUUGGGGAAACGGCAGCUGAAAUUAUAAUUAAGGUUCUAUUUUUGUGUGUUCCUAGAUGCACAACUUUUCUGAGUCAAUACACUGAAUACAUAAAGCUCUUGGACUGGCGUUUGGCACUCCGGAAGCGCUCAGGAAGCAGAGCUAUGAUUAUAAUUAAAGUCCUCUUUGUGAAGGUUCUUGGAUGAAGUGGCAGAGCGUGCUCACCGUCUUCCACAAACGUUUUCUGCUUUCUGGGCACUUGGCGAGACCGCCUUUCCCACACUCCCUUGCAGCGAGCUGCGGUCAGGUGAUUCAUCUCUCAGCCAUAGAACGCUAAGUGGCAGCGGUAUGUGCCCCUUCCAGGCUGGGGCUUCUCCGCAAGCAUGUGAGCUUCUCCUCUUCCACCCACAGAGCCCCAGCCAGGGACAUCCAGCCAUGACCAUGUGAAUGACAAAAGGAUGGCCUGGGCAUCCCCAAAUCACCAUAUGCAGGUUACUCGCCAACCUUGGACUACCAUGUGAGUGAGAAACAAAACCCUCUUGUGUCUGAGCCUGCACAUCAUAGGGUCUAUGAUUAAAUACACAGAAACCACAUUGAACUA
Bubalus bubalis (water buffalo) is the source of this 3211-nucleotide long non-coding RNA. RefSeq lists it as uncharacterized. The record is from RefSeq and is a predicted model, not a curated record. Lineage: Eukaryota; Metazoa; Chordata; Mammalia; Artiodactyla; Bovidae. The transcript is spliced from 4 exons.